This 1372-nucleotide ribosomal RNA is filed under the name uncultured bacterium. RNAcentral describes it as "bacterial SSU rRNA". It matches the Rfam family "Bacterial small subunit ribosomal RNA", at positions 28 to 1381 of the family's 1533-position model. The record is from RNAcentral.
GAUGAACGCUGGCGGCGUGCCUAAUACAUGCAAGUCGAGCGAACGGACGAGAAGCUUGCUUCUCUGAUGUUAGCGGCGGACGGGUGAGUAACACGUGGAUAACCUACCUAUAAGACUGGGAUAACUUCGGGAAACCGGAGCUAAUACCGGAUAAUAUUUUGAACCGCAUGGUUCAAAAGUGAAAGACGGUCUUGCUGUCACUUAUAGAUGGAUCCGCGCUGCAUUAGCUAGUUGGUAAGGUAACGGCUUACCAAGGCAACGAUGCAUAGCCGACCUGAGAGGGUGAUCGGCCACACUGGAACUGAGACACGGUCCAGACUCCUACGGGAGGCAGCAGUAGGGAAUCUUCCGCAAUGGGCGAAAGCCUGACGGAGCAACGCCGCGUGAGUGAUGAAGGUCUUCGGAUCGUAAAACUCUGUUAUUAGGGAAGAACAUAUGUGUAAGUAACUGUGCACAUCUUGACGGUACCUAAUCAGAAAGCCACGGCUAACUACGUGCCAGCAGCCGCGGUAAUACGUAGGUGGCAAGCGUUAUCCGGAAUUAUUGGGCGUAAAACGCGCGUAGGCGGUUUUUUAAGUCUGAUGUGAAAGCCCACGGCUCAACCGUGGAGGGUCAUUGGAAACUGGAAAACUUGAGUGCAGAAGAGGAAAGUGGAAUUCCAUGUGUAGCGGUGAAAUGCGCAGAGAUAUGGAGGAACACCAGUGGCGAAGGCGACUUUCUGGUCUGUAACUGACGCUGAUGUGCGAAAACGUGGGGAUCAAACAGGAUUAGAUACCCUGGUAGUCCACGCCGUAAACGAUGAGUGCUAAGUGUUAGGGGGUUUCCGCCCCUUAGUGCUGCAGCUAACGCAUUAAGCACUCCGCCUGGGGAGUACGACCGCAAGGUUGAAACUCAAAGGAAUUGACGGGGACCCGCACAAGCGGUGGAGCAUGUGGUUUAAUUCGAAGCAACGCGAAGAACCUUACCAAAUCUUGACAUCCUUUGACAACUCUAGAGAUAGAGCCUUCCCCUUCGGGGGACAAAGUGACAGGUGGUGCAUGGUUGUCGUCAGCUCGUGUCGUGAGAUGUUGGGUUAAGUCCCGCAACGAGCGCAACCCUUAAGCUUAGUUGCCAUCAUUAAGUUGGGCACUCUAAGUUGACUGCCGGUGACAAACCGGAGGAAGGUGGGGAUGACGUCAAAUCAUCAUGCCCCUUAUGAUUUGGGCUACACACGUGCUACAAUGGACAAUACAAAGGGCAGCGAAACCGCGAGGUCAAGCAAAUCCCAUAAAGUUGUUCUCAGUUCGGAUUGUAGUCUGCAACUCGACUACAUGAAGCUGGAAUCGCUAGUAAUCGUAGAUCAGCAUGCUACGGUGAAUACGUUCCCGGGUCU